RNAcentral lists this ribosomal RNA (768 nucleotides) under Triticum aestivum (bread wheat). Its description in RNAcentral is "partial small subunit ribosomal RNA". Lineage: Eukaryota; Viridiplantae; Streptophyta; Magnoliopsida; Poales; Poaceae. The record is from RNAcentral.
AUGGGCCCUCUUGUGGUAGACCCACAUGUCAUCGGUGUAACUAUUUACGCUCCAGAGGACGGUGCCUAUAUCCUGGUAGUAGUACUAGUAGAAUUGAGAUUUAAUGCACUUUCUUCCCCGUCUUCCACUCUUCUUCCUCCUCUCUUCUUCUUCCUCCUCUCUUCCCCAUCAUCGGCCGCACACCAUUUACCCCCGCUCACUGCUCUCCCACCCGCGCCAUCUUCCUUGGACCUGGAAUCAUACCAGCCGAUGGGUGGUGGUUUAUCGCUUGUUCAACUGACGGCGUCGAAGAAGGAUUGGCCGGUGCUGCCAGCUGGAGUCAAGUUCGAUCCCACGGAUCAGGAGCUGAUCGAGCACCUUGAGGCCAAAGUGAGUGUUGACAGCGCGAGAUUUCAGUCUCUCAUUGAUUUGUUCAUACCAACCAUUGACAGCGAGCACGACAUAUGCUACACCCAACCUGAGAAACUUCCAGCAAAAAAGGUUCUGGUGCUGCACACCAACAAGAACUUCGACCAGCAGAGGACCAACUGGGUGAUGCACCAGUACCACAUCGAGGACCUGGAGCAAGAGAAGGAGCGGGAGCUGGUCCUCUGUAAGAUUUUCUACCAGACGAACACUAGGGCCAGGAGUAGUUUGGUAUUGGUAGUUGUACUACCUUGUCGUCCGCAAGUUGGUAUUGUUGUUAAUGAUCUUUUGGCCCAGCCCAUGACGACAACGGGGCACAAAGAUCCAGCAGGUAUCUACUGGCCCCUGGCCUGCCAGCGUUAG